Molecule: unclassified non-coding RNA, 348 nt
Filed under: soil metagenome
Description: partial contains 5.8S ribosomal RNA, internal transcribed spacer 2, and large subunit ribosomal RNA
Rfam family: 5.8S ribosomal RNA (bases 1-120)
Source: RNAcentral
GAUGAAGAACGUAGCGAAAUGCGAUAAGUAAUGUGAAUUGCAGAGUUCAGUGAAUCAUCGAAUCUUUGAACGCACAUUGCGCCCGUCAGUAUUCUGACGGGCAUGCCUGUCCGAGCGUCAUUUCAACCCUCAAGCACGGCUUGUGUGUUGGGCCCCCGCCCCCCGGCUUCGGGGGGCGGGCCCGAAAGGCAGCGGCGGCACCGCGUCCGGUCCUCGAGCGUAUGGGGCUUCGUCACCCGCUCUGUAGGCCCGGCCGGCGCCCGCCGGCGACCCCAAUCAAUCUUUCCAGGUUGACCUCGGAUCAGGUAGGGAUACCCGCUGAACUUAAGCAUAUCAAUAAGCGGAGGA